Molecule: ribosomal RNA, 253 nt
Filed under: uncultured bacterium
Lineage: Bacteria
Description: partial 16S ribosomal RNA
Rfam family: Bacterial small subunit ribosomal RNA
Source: RNAcentral
UACGGAAGGGGCUAGCGUUGUUCGGAAUUACUGGGCGUAAAGAGCGCGUAGGCGGCUUACCAAGUUGGGGGUGAAAUCCCGGAGCUCAACUCCGGAACUGCCUUCAAAACUGGUAGGCUCGAGUCCGGAAGAGGGGCGUGGAAUUCCCAGUGUAGAGGUGAAAUUCGUAGAUAUUGGGAAGAACACCGGUGGAGAAGGCGGGGCCCGGGUCCGGUAUUGACGUUGAGGCGCGAAAGCGUGGGGAGCAAACAGG